UUUGAGCAAGGGAGUGCGUGUGUGGUGUAGAGUUAGAUAUUCAGAACUUUCUUUAGGUUUUCUCUUUCUUGGUGGCAUUCUUUGUUUUCUUCUGUGCAUGAUUAAGGUGGCUGUUUCCUUAUCCAGGUGGCUGUUUCCUUAUCCAGGUGGGUGUUUCCUUAUCCAGGUGGGUGUUUCCUUAUCCAGGUGGGUGUUUCCUUAUCCAGGUGGCUGUUUCCUUAUCCAGGUGGCUGUUUCCUUAUCCAGGAUCUCUUCCCACGUGUAGGAUCCCUUGCCGUCCAGGAUGUCCUCCCAUAUCCAGUCCAAAUAGCUCUCCUUCUGCUCCUUCCUCCGCUGCUUGGUACUUCUUUGGUGGGUGGUUCUGUAUCGUUCAUCGUAAGGAGUGGACCAAAAUGCAGCCGGUAAAGUGCUCAUCUUCUUAUUUAUUAAAAGAAAAACACUUAAACAAAACAAACGACGAAAACAGUCCAAUAAGGUGCACAGACUAUACUGGAAACAACCACCCACAAAACACAAGUGAAACAAACCCCAACUAAAUAUGGCCUCCAAUUAGAGGCAACGACAACCAGCUGCCUCCAAUUGGAGGUCCUACCAAAACCCCAACAUAGAAAUGGAAAAACUAGAUAAACACAUAGAAAUAGAAAAUGUAGAACAUAAACCAAAAAACCCGAACCACACAAAACAAACACCCCCUGCCACGCCCUGACCAAACUACAAUAACAAAUAACCCCUUUUACCGGUCAGGACGUGACAUAUACAGUAUGUGUGUAAUAUGUGUAUGUGUGUAAUAUACUGUAUGUGUGUAAUACAUGCACGUGUGUGAUAUACUGUAUGUGUGUAAUAUACUGUAUGUGUGUGGGGGGGCUGAAAGAGAUAAAAACACUGUGCUCUCAGCAGAAAAGACAAGAGGAUGUGAUGUGAUGAGAGUUCGAUCCAGAGCCCAAACCCGGUAAAUGAGAAGACCUUUAUCUCCACUCUCCAUCUGGGCACUGGGCUCUCUUUUAACUGGAAAGGUUGUCUGCAGCCUGUUCAGUGCUUCAUCGGCGCUUGUGAACUCCAUUUUCUGUAUUGACAUUCAUCGACCAUCACAAUCAAGACUGAUAACCUUGGAGAGGGAGAGCGUAGGGGAGAUGGAAUGGUGCUUUUACAAGUGGUCGCUUUUGAUGUAGCUGGCUGUUCAUU
RNAcentral lists this long non-coding RNA (1182 nucleotides) under Salmo salar (Atlantic salmon). RNAcentral's name for it is "lncRNA (ENSSSAG00000090736.1)". The record is from RNAcentral. Lineage: Eukaryota; Metazoa; Chordata; Actinopteri; Salmoniformes; Salmonidae.